AGGAACAUUACGAACGCGAAGAAUCCAAAAACCCGAACAAUUCCUACGGGAACGAACUUCACCGAAUCCUUUGAACCUUUUGGUAAUAAUUCUAGCGUAUAGUUAGAAAAUUUCAAAAUUUACAACAUGUUGGAAUCAGUAUUGUUGAGGUUGACUGAUAGAGGGUCGAGUGGAUGAAUUUUUAAUAGAAAAAUAUAUUGAAAUAAAUAAUGGUAUAAGUGUCAGUAUAAGUAUAAAUAUAAUGUACGCUGAUCCAGAUCCUCACUCUUAUAGUGUUACAAUAUAUAGCAGAGGACAUUAUCAAAAAGGUUAACCUUGUAGCUCUAGUUGAAGGCAACAAGAAACAGCAAUGGAAAUCUACUUACAACCCUUUUGUUUCUAG
RNAcentral lists this unclassified non-coding RNA (382 nucleotides) under Bombus terrestris (buff-tailed bumblebee). Its description in RNAcentral is "misc RNA ENSBTSG00005035473.1". The record is from RNAcentral. Lineage: Eukaryota; Metazoa; Arthropoda; Insecta; Hymenoptera; Apidae.